AGCAGGACGUAGCUGGCCAGCGUGGAGGACCGCGUCUGGCUGGAGUGAGCAGACCACUCGCUGGACUCCACACUCACUUUUGUGUCGCCAGAUCCUGUGUGCAGUUGGUGCUUAGAAAACGCUUGCCGAGCUGGAGAGGAACGGCUUCGCUUGCCCCGCCAGGAGGAAGGAUCGCGUCUCACCUCACUGGGCUGGUGCCCUUGUAUUUGCCAUUUCAUAAAAGAUUUUAUUUGUGGUUGGACAGUCAGUUCUUUCAGGAAAACUAGAAGAACUGGUUUAGAACCAUUGUGAAACUCUAUUUUAAUAGCAGCAAGUCAGGGCUCUGACAACUUCAAAAAGGGCGAUCAAGAAAUUCUUGUUUGCUCAACAGAAAGAGCUGUUUGGUUACGUGGCUUCAAAGUCACCCCAAACGCCAUGUAAUUUUCAGCUUCUAAUGAUUUUCUGGUGAUUAGCCUCUAAGAUGUCCGGAGAUCGUGAUGGGUGACGCCUCCCUUUCGCCCCCUCCUCAGCGUCUCAGUCUGAGCUGCGUGGACUCUUCUUUUCCUUCCUUCGCUUCUAGAUCAUAAACACGCUCGGCUGAAGUGGCCCUCGAGGUGGACUGCUGCUCCAGCCACUGUGUUUCCCUCACCCGCACUAGAUCGAUAAAUAUUUUACUUAAAAUUCUUUGUUCUUAAAUGUGCAGCACAGAGUCUAGCUGAUAGAAACACCAUGCAGGCCGCAUGGGUCGCUCUCAAUUUUUCUAGUAGCCUCAUUAAAAAAGGAGAAAAGGUGCAGGUGAGACUCAUUUGAAUAGUGUUUUAUGUAGCCCAGUAUCUCCACAGUGUUAUCAGUUCAGCAUGUCAUCACAGUAAGAAUUCUUGUCAGGGUGGUGGCCACUGUGUCUUUCGUCCAACAUCAGCGUGCCUUUUCUGGGGACGGU
Sciurus carolinensis (gray squirrel) is the source of this 919-nucleotide long non-coding RNA. RefSeq lists it as uncharacterized. Lineage: Eukaryota; Metazoa; Chordata; Mammalia; Rodentia; Sciuridae. The transcript has 3 exons. The record is from RefSeq and is a predicted model, not a curated record.